CCCUUAGAUGUUCUGGGCCGCACGCGCGCUACACUGAUUCAUGCAACAAGUUUUGUCCUUGGCUGAUAGGCCUGGGUAAUCUUUGAACGUGAAUCGUGAUGGGGAUAGAUGAUUGCAAUUAUUCAUCUUCAACGAGGAAUUCCUAGUAAACGCAAGUCAUCAGCUUGCGCUGACUACGUCCCUGCCCUUUGUACACACCGCCCGUCGCUACUACCGAUUGAAUGAUUUAGUGAGGACUUCGGACUGGGACCGAUGCGGCUUUCGGGCUGCGUCGGUAUUCUGGAAAGAUGUCCAAACUGUAUCAUUUAGAGGAAGUAAAAGUCGUAACA
Molecule: ribosomal RNA, 329 nt
Filed under: uncultured eukaryote
Lineage: Eukaryota
Description: partial 18S ribosomal RNA
Rfam family: Eukaryotic small subunit ribosomal RNA
Source: RNAcentral